This 441-nucleotide ribosomal RNA is filed under the name Enterococcus faecium. RNAcentral's name for it is "bacterial LSU rRNA". It matches the Rfam family "Bacterial large subunit ribosomal RNA", at positions 2487 to 2925 of the family's 2925-position model. The record is from RNAcentral. Lineage: Bacteria; Bacillati; Bacillota; Bacilli; Lactobacillales; Enterococcaceae.
CUCCCCCAAGAGUCCACAUCGACGGGGAGGGUUGGCACCUCGAUGUCGGCUAGGCGCAUCCUGUGGCUGUAGGCGGUCCCAAGGGGUGGGCUGGUCGACAAUUAAAGCGGCAAGCGAGCUGGSUUCAGAACGUCGUGAGACAGUUCGGUCCCUAUCCGUCGCGGGCGUUGGAAAUUUGAGAGGAGCUGUCCUUAGUACGAGAGGACCGGGAUGGACUUACCGCUGGUGUACCAGUUGUUCUGCCAAGGGCAUUGCUGGGUAGCUAUGUAGGGAAGGGAUAAACGCUGAAAGCAUCUAAGUGUGAAGCCCACCUCAAGAUGAGAUUUCCCAUUUCUUUAAGAAAGUAAGAUUCCUGAGAGAUGAUCAGGUAGAUAGGUCAGGAGUGGAAGUACAGUGAUGUAUGGAGCGGACUGAUACUAAUCGAUCGAGGACUUAACCAAU